This 34-nucleotide ribosomal RNA is filed under the name Xiphinema elongatum. RNAcentral describes it as "partial 5.8S ribosomal RNA". Lineage: Eukaryota; Metazoa; Nematoda; Enoplea; Dorylaimida; Longidoridae. RNAcentral also lists the same sequence under 1 other name. The record is from RNAcentral.
GAUUCCAUUCUAAGCGGUGGAUCACUCGGCUCGU